Molecule: ribosomal RNA, 220 nt
Filed under: uncultured bacterium
Lineage: Bacteria
Description: partial 16S ribosomal RNA
Rfam family: Bacterial small subunit ribosomal RNA
Source: RNAcentral
CCGGACUGAGAGGUUGAACGGCCACAUUGGGACUGAGACACGGCCCAGACUCCUACGGGAGGCAGCAGUGGGGGAUAUUGCACAAUGGGGGAAAUCCUGAUGCAGCGACGCCGCGUGGAGGAAGAAGGUUUUCGGAUUGUAAACUCCUGUCGUUAGGGACGAUAAUGACGGUACCUAACAAGAAAGCACCGGCUAACUACGUGCCAGCAGCCGCGGUAAU